GCUAACUCUGUGCCAGCAGCCGCGGUAAGACAGAGGGUGCAAACGUUGUUCGGAAUUACUGGGCGUAAAGCGCGUGUAGGCGGCUCGGAAAGUCGGAUGUGAAAGCCCUGGGCUCAACCCAGGAAGUGCACCCGAAACUUUCGAGCUGGAGUCCUGGAGAGGAAGGCGGAAUUCUCGGUGUAGAGGUGAAAUUCGUAGAUAUCGAGAGGAACACCGGUGGCGAAGGCGGCCUUCUGGACAGUGACUGACGCUGAGACGCGAAAGCGUGGGGAGCAAACAGGAUUAGAUACCCUUGUAGUC
RNAcentral lists this ribosomal RNA (300 nucleotides) under uncultured Chondromyces sp. RNAcentral's name for it is "bacterial SSU rRNA". It matches the Rfam family "Bacterial small subunit ribosomal RNA", at positions 496 to 795 of the family's 1533-position model. The record is from RNAcentral. Lineage: Bacteria; Pseudomonadati; Myxococcota; Polyangiales; Polyangiaceae.